Zingiber officinale is the source of this 279-nucleotide long non-coding RNA. RefSeq lists it as uncharacterized. The record is from RefSeq and is a predicted model, not a curated record. The transcript has 4 exons. Lineage: Eukaryota; Viridiplantae; Streptophyta; Magnoliopsida; Zingiberales; Zingiberaceae.
UGGAGCGCUGGAAUCGGUGGUGAUCGGCAAUUUGGGAGGUGACUUCUCGUCUUCCCGAGUCCUGAAGCUGAGCAUACCUCUUCGCCAUUUUUGGGGGUUUCCGAUACUGUAUUAGGUUAAGUGGCUCACUGUGAGGAGCUCGGCUACAACUCCCAGCAGUUAUUCUUCAUCCGGGAAGCAUUAGCAGCGACAUUCUUCAGUAGCGAAUCAUCAGUUGGGGCAUCCGGAUUUGGAGGAUGUUGGUUCGAGAUGAGCGUCUCGAUGUGGGAAUGGUAUUGG